GUCCAGGGAUGGGAAUCGAACCCACAGUGUUCCGCUUACCGGGCGGAUGCCAUGUCCACUAGGCUACCCUGGA
Molecule: transfer RNA, 73 nt
Filed under: Cordylochernes scorpioides
Lineage: Eukaryota; Metazoa; Arthropoda; Arachnida; Pseudoscorpiones; Chernetidae
Description: tRNA-Thr
Source: RNAcentral